Molecule: ribosomal RNA, 262 nt
Filed under: uncultured prokaryote
Description: partial 16S ribosomal RNA
Rfam family: Bacterial small subunit ribosomal RNA
Source: RNAcentral
UACGUAGGGUGCGAGCGUUGUCCGGAAUUACUGGGCGUAAAGAGCUCGUAGGUGGUUUGUCACGUCGUCUGUGAAAUUCCGGGGCUUAACCUCGGGCGUGCAGGCGAUACGGGCAAUACUUGAGUGCUGUAGGGGAGACUGGAAUUCCUGGUGUAGCGGUGAAAUGCGCAAAUAUCAGGAGGAACACCAAUGGCGAAGGCAGGUCUCUGGGCAGUUACUGACGCUGAGGAGCGAAAGCAUGGGUAGCGAACAGGAUUAGAUA